CCUACGGGAGGCAGCAGUGGGGAAUUUUGGACAAUGGGCGCAAGCCUGAUCCAGCAAUGCCGCGUGAGUGAAGAAGGCCUUCGGGUUGUAAAGCUCUUUUGUCAGGGAAGAAACGGUGGGAGCUAAUAUCUCCCGCUAAUGACGGUACCUGAAGAAUAAGCACCGGCUAACUACGUGCCAGCAGCCGCGGUAAUACGUAGGGUGCAAGCGUUAAUCGGAAUUACUGGGCGUAAAGCGUGCGCAGGCGGUUUUGUAAGUCUGUCGUGAAAGCCCCGGGCUCAACCUGGGAAUUGCGAUGGAGACUGCAAGGCUUGAAUCUGGCAGAGGGGGGUAGAAUUCCACGUGUAGCAGUGAAAUGCGUAGAGAUGUGGAGGAACACCGAUGGCGAAGGCAGCCCCCUGGGUCAAGAUUGACGCUCAUGCACGAAAGCGUGGGGAGCAAACAGGAUUAGAUACCCUGGUAGUCCACGCCCUAAACGAUGUCUACUAGUUGUCGGGUUUUAAUUAACUUGGUAACGCAGCUAACGCGUGAAGUAGACCGCCUGGGGAGUACGGUCGCAGAUUAAAACUCAAAUGAAAUUGACGG
RNAcentral lists this ribosomal RNA (585 nucleotides) under uncultured bacterium. Its description in RNAcentral is "bacterial SSU rRNA". It matches the Rfam family "Bacterial small subunit ribosomal RNA", at positions 338 to 916 of the family's 1533-position model. The record is from RNAcentral.